This 665-nucleotide ribosomal RNA is filed under the name uncultured Lachnospiraceae bacterium. RNAcentral's name for it is "bacterial SSU rRNA". It matches the Rfam family "Bacterial small subunit ribosomal RNA", at positions 62 to 737 of the family's 1533-position model. Lineage: Bacteria; Bacillati; Bacillota; Clostridia; Lachnospirales; Lachnospiraceae. The record is from RNAcentral.
CCUUAUUUGAUUUUCUUCGGAACUGAAGAUUUGGUGAUUGAGUGGCGGACGGGUGAGUAACGCGUGGGUAACCUGCCCUGUACAGGGGGAUAACAGUCAGAAAUGACUGCUAAUACCGCAUAAGACCACAGCACCGCAUGGUGCAGGGGUAAAAACUCCGGUGGUACAGGAUGGACCCGCGUCUGAUUAGCUGGUUGGUGAGGUAACGGCUCACCAAGGCGACGAUCAGUAGCCGGCUUGAGAGAGUGAACGGCCACAUUGGGACUGAGACACGGCCCAAACUCCUACGGGAGGCAGCAGUGGGGAAUAUUGCACAAUGGGGGAAACCCUGAUGCAGCGACGCCGCGUGAGUGAAGAAGUAUCUCGGUAUGUAAAGCUCUAUCAGCAGGGAAGAAAAUGACGGUACCUGACUAAGAAGCCCCGGCUAACUACGUGCCAGCAGCCGCGGUAAUACGUAGGGGGCAAGCGUUAUCCGGAAUUACUGGGUGUAAAGGGUGCGUAGGUGGUAUGGCAAGUCAGAAGUGAAAACCCAGGGCUUAACUCUGGGACUGCUUUUGAAACUGUCAGACUAGAGUGCAGGAGAGGUAAGCGGAAUUCCUAGUGUAGCGGUGAAAUGCGUAGAUAUUAGGAGGAACAUCAGUGGCGAAGGCGGCUUACUGGACUGA